RNAcentral lists this ribosomal RNA (492 nucleotides) under uncultured bacterium. Its description in RNAcentral is "partial 16S ribosomal RNA". It matches the Rfam family "Bacterial small subunit ribosomal RNA", at positions 29 to 507 of the family's 1533-position model. The record is from RNAcentral.
AGUGAACGCUGGCGGUAGGCCUAACACAUGCAAGUCGAACGGCAGCACAGUAAGAGUUUGCUCUUACGGGUGGCGAGUGGCGGACGGGUGAGGAAUACAUCGGAAUCUACUUUUUCGGGGGGGAUAACGUAGGGAAACUUACGCUAAUACCGCAUACGACCUACGGGUGAAAGCAGGGGAUAUUCGGACCUUGCGCGAUUGAAUGAGACGAUGUCGGAUUAGCUAGUUGGCGGGGUAAAGGCCCACCAAGGCGACGAUCCGUAGCUGGUCUGAGAGGAUGAUCGGCCACACUGGAACUGAGACACGGUCCAGACUCCUACGGGAGGCAGCAGUGGGGAAUAUUGGACAAAGGGCGCAAGCCUGAUCCAGCCAUACCGCGUGGGUGAAGAAGGCCUUCGGGUUGUAAAACCCUUUUGUUAGGAAAGAAAAGCAGCAGGUUAAUACCCCGCUGUUCUGACGGUACCCAAAGAAUAAGCACCGGCUAACUUCGUG